Molecule: RNA transcript, 2899 nt
Organism: Scophthalmus maximus (turbot)
Lineage: Eukaryota; Metazoa; Chordata; Actinopteri; Pleuronectiformes; Scophthalmidae
Gene name: mitotic spindle positioning
Exons: 6
Source: RefSeq, a predicted model, not a curated record
GUCAGGGAGGGCGGGGUCUUUGUGGUGGGCGGGGCCUUAGAUGGGACGAUAGACGUGAACUUUGUCAGUUGUUGUUCAGACAGUCAGUGCUGCUGCAGGAAACUGAUCUCAGAACCAUCACCCAUUGGCCCCUGCAGAACCCCCUGCAGCCAUGGACAGCACCCCGAGGAGGUGGGUUCUGAAGCCUCUGUCUCCCCUGCUGCAACCCUCAGACCUGCGGACGAUUCCUAGCCCCACCCGAGGUGAUGCCCCUGACCCGGACGACCCAGUCUUCAGUUCAGACAUCAUCUCAGUGACUGGCAACCAUUUGUCGGUGGUCGUCUCCUCUCACCCGGGUGACAGGUCCCAGGACAUGGUGAUCCAGGCCCGGCAGGCCAUAGUGUCGCAGGACGGUGGGAGUAUCAACGACGAUUGGCAACCCAGCAGUCCCAGCAGCAGCUCGGGCUCUCACUGUGGUUUCUACUCCUUUGUGGAGGAUGCAGCGAGUCCAGAGGCAGAGCUGAACGAAGCCUGGAUGGUCUCAUCACAGCGGCAGGCACAGCUGCUCACCCUGAAGGAGGAGAACGUUUUCAAACUACAGACAUACACUAGCAGCAAGAAGCCACAUAGUCUGUUCUCAGAGAGCAAGGAAGACUCACAGUACAACGUGGAUCCAGAGAGUGUCAUCAAAGUGGUGGGGGAGCAAGAGGAGAAGCAGCUCCGCAAGGACAUCAUUCGCAGCCAAGCACCAAAGAAGAACCUGAUGUUCAAUGAUCAGCUGCAUGCGUCUGAGAAUCUUGAUCUGAGCAGAUCUACAAACAAAUUGAUCGAAGGUUUCAGUGUGAGCUACAGUCCCGUCGGCUCCAGACCAGAAUCUACUCACACUGCUGAAUUUGGGACAGUUGACAAGGAGCAGAUCAACUUCAGUGCUGCCCGACAACAGUUCCUGAAGAUGGAGCAGGAGCUGUUGACUACAGUCCUCAACCCUCUGACAUCAAACAUACCGCCGCACUCGUCUUUGCAUCAAGAUCCUGAUGUGUCUUCAUGGAGGCAGGUGGAGACAUUUGACAGUGUGGAACUGAGUGAAGAUACAACUCUGUUUAAACCAUCUGAAGAAGUUGACACCAACUCAGAGUGGAAGAGGACGGAGUGCAGGACUGAAGAGAGUCUGAGCAGGCAGAGCAGUGUGUUUGAUGAUCUGGGCUCCGGUCUGGAGGAGCUGUUGGUGGAGGUGGGCGGCAGCUACAUUAGUGACGGAGGUGUGUUCAAUGACAAUAAUCAGCAAGAAAACAGGAGCUGCAAGUCCACAACUGAGUAUGAGACUCCGAUUGAAAGGGAGAUCCGGUUAGUUCAGGAACGCGAAGAGAACCUGCGGCAUUCUCGAGGCCUGAAGCACAGUGACAGCAGGGCGGAGAUGGUUGAAAUCAAAACCAAACGUUUACAGGCAUCGCUAACACCCAUCAAAGCCAGAGAAAAGACUCCAGUGAGCUUCAUCAUUCAGCAAAAGAAGGAGAUCCAGAGUAGAGAGGAACCUCUGCAGCAGGGUGGGAUCCUGGGAGGAGAUUCUCAGGACAGGAGGGCAGAGGAAAGACCUCCAUCUGUGUCUGGUGAGACGGAUGUCUUCUUGUCUCCCUGCUGUCCUCAUCGACACCCUGAAGAAACAGAGUUGUCCAUCAGUCAAAUGAAUUUAGCUUCUUCCUCCUUCACUGUGGGGGACUUGAGGUUCCAAGGCUCAAGACGUUUGCACCAGAAUCAAAUGACUUCCUUAUCACCCUACUCCUCUUCCGCCUCAUCCCCGACACUGACACCUCAGCAGAAGAUUACCUGGACCACACCUCAUCAGUGGAAGGAAAACCUGGAGUUCAGUGGCCUGCAGCCCAGAGGACAAGGAGCUCCAGAUUUCAUAGAGAAGGAGAUCAAGGAGGCCCUGAGACGGGAGCAGGAGCUGAAGGAGUCCAGAGCAAAAAACAAUCAACAGCUCUUCUCUCCAACUCCUCUGCUGGAACAAGCAACCAAGAUGGCCACCAGUCAGUUCUUCACACAUGCAAAUACAGAUGAACCUGUCCCUCUGUCCUCACCGUCCCCUCGUGCUUCUGUCCGUCUGCCCUCCAUCUCCUUCAUCACUGCUCAGCCCUGGACCUCCUCCUCCUCCUCCACCUCCCCCGCGGUGGUACCGCUGGCCCCGCCCCCACUCAGGGGCCUGUCAGAGACGUUACUGCAGGACUUGGAGGACAGAAGAGUUCAGCUGAAACCGGACGAGAGCUCAUAUGCGGGAAUCCAGCCGAUAGACGACGUGAACAACGAGUGCAGGGUUCGGAGGAGUGGUGUAGUGUGGGAGAACUUUGGUAGGUUGAAGACCAACCGGGCUGCUGCAUUCUGGAUGAGCUCCAGUCGUCCAGACGUGAGACGACAGGAACCUGCACCAACACCUGCGUCGUCUUCUCUGUGAGGAAUGGACAAAUCGUCGAGAUGUUGUGGAGGAUGGAGAACAUCUGGUCGUCUCCAUGGUGACGAGAGGUCGUUGGUGGGAGGUGAAACAUCUGAGUCCAGAUUAGUCUUCAGGUGCAUCGACAUUCACUGAGAAAUGUCACCAGACAUGCAGAGAUUCUGCUGCCACCUGGUGUCAGAUUGUGGAAAGGACUAAUGGGUUGGGUGUCAUCUGCGUAGCUAUGGUAGGAAAAGCCAUCUGCGUGAAUGACAGAGUCUAAUGACCUGGUGAACAGAGAGAAGAGGACGGGCCCAGGACAGAGCCCAGAGGGUCUCCAGGAACCAGGACGUGAAGAGGUUGUUGAGUCGACUCGAGUCAUUCGACAUAAAAACCAGCGAGCUCUGCAAUGGGAGGCCGGAGUCUUUGCCAACCAGGAGAUCCAGGAACAUGAUCUGCAGAGGGACUUUAAACCAGAACCUUCCCAGGCGAAAG